UACGUAGGGGGCUAGCGUUGUCCGGAAUCAUUGGGCGUAAAGCGCGUGUAGGCGGUCCGGUAAGUCCGCUGUGAAAGUCGGGGGCUCAACCCUCGGAUGCCGGUGGAUACUGUCGGGCUUGAGUACGGAAGAGGCGAGUGGAAUUCCUGGUGUAGCGGUGAAAUGCGCAGAUAUCAGGAAGAACACCCGUGGCGAAGGCGGCUCUCUGGGACGGUACUGACGCUGAGACGCGAAAGCGUGAGGAGCGAACAGG
RNAcentral lists this ribosomal RNA (253 nucleotides) under uncultured bacterium. RNAcentral describes it as "partial 16S ribosomal RNA". It matches the Rfam family "Bacterial small subunit ribosomal RNA", at positions 524 to 776 of the family's 1533-position model. The record is from RNAcentral.